AUAACCUUGGCAAGCGAAUUAAUCUCCCUGUGCCUCUAUUUCCCCACCUGCAAAAUGAGAUGAUACCACCGACCUGGUGGAGGGUGUGAAGUUUAAA
This is a long non-coding RNA of Sapajus apella (tufted capuchin), 97 nucleotides long. RefSeq lists it as uncharacterized. The record is from RefSeq and is a predicted model, not a curated record. NCBI's taxonomy places the organism in Eukaryota, Metazoa, Chordata, Mammalia, Primates, Cebidae. The transcript is spliced from 3 exons.